GUUGCUUAUAUAUUAAAGUGACAAAAGGAGAGAUUAUUUUACACGAUGAUUAGAUUUGUUUAGACUGGAGUUUGGCUUAUAUUCUAUGGAUAUUGUCUACUGUUGAAGACCAUAUGUUGACCUGAACGACAUUUCGCAAUUAUCGUGUUGUUAUAGUUCUUAUUUAAGGGUCUAGAUGGAAGAUGGCUUUCAUUUCUGUAUCUUAUUUCUAAGUAUGUGUUGCUUAGACUUAAUUUUUCUAUGAUGUGACAUUUGUACUAUAUUAUUGUCUGUGUGUCUUUGUCUUUUUUAGCCAUGGUGUUGUCCGUUUAUUUUCGAUCUAUGAGUCUCUUUGGUAUUUUUCACCCCUCUUUUCUAAGUAAUUUUCAUCUAUUCUUUUACCAGUAUUCUAUUUUCUGUAUACUUUUGCACCUCAAUUCUUUAUUUGCUUUGUUUGUUUUCACUAUUCUGUAUAUUGAGCCCUUUAUUACGCCAAUUAUUUUGAAUUUCCAUUUCGUAUAACACAUAGCCAUAGGAAUCUCCCGGCUUAUUUGUUGAAGGCGUUCAAGAAAAAACAUCAUCAUGUAAUUAC
This 571-nucleotide long non-coding RNA is filed under the name Mytilus galloprovincialis (Mediterranean mussel). The record is from RNAcentral. Lineage: Eukaryota; Metazoa; Mollusca; Bivalvia; Mytilida; Mytilidae.